RNAcentral lists this ribosomal RNA (499 nucleotides) under uncultured bacterium. Its description in RNAcentral is "partial 16S ribosomal RNA". It matches the Rfam family "Bacterial small subunit ribosomal RNA", at positions 28 to 507 of the family's 1533-position model. The record is from RNAcentral.
GACGAACGCUGGCGGCGUGCCUAAUACAUGCAAGUCGAGCGGACUUUCAAGAAGCUUGCUUUUUGAAAGUUAGCGGCGGACGGGUGAGUAACACGUGGGCAACCUGCCUGCAAGACGGGGAUAACUCCGGGAAACCGGGGCUAAUACCGGAUAAUAUCUUCCUUCGCAUGAAGGAAGGUUGAAAGGCGGCGCAAGCUGCCGCUUGCAGAUGGGCCCGCGGCGCAUUAGCUAGUUGGUGAGGUAACGGCUCACCAAGGCGACGAUGCGUAGCCGACCUGAGAGGGUGAUCGGCCACUCUGGGACGGAGACACGGCCCAGACUCCUACGGGAGGCAGCAGUAGGGAAUCUUCCGCAAUGGACGAAAGUCUGACGGAGCAACGCCGCGUGAGCGAAGAAGGUCUUCGGAUCGUAAAGCUCUGUUGUCAGGGAAGAACAAGUACCGUUCGAACAGGGCGGUACCUUGACGGUACCUGACCAGAAAGCCACGGCUAACUACGUG